RNAcentral lists this ribosomal RNA (543 nucleotides) under Trachipterus trachypterus (ribbon fish). RNAcentral describes it as "partial 16S ribosomal RNA". The stretch from base 176 to 543 matches the Rfam family "Bacterial large subunit ribosomal RNA", at positions 572 to 1049 of the family's 2925-position model. Lineage: Eukaryota; Metazoa; Chordata; Actinopteri; Lampriformes; Trachipteridae. The record is from RNAcentral.
AUGCUAAAUAGCUAGCCCAACUGCUGACAAAUCUAAUUAUAUAACUUUAUCUAAGAAUAUAUUUAAUUCUCUAAUUAAAUCAUUUUUCCUCUUUAGUAUCGGCGACAGAAACAGAUCAAUGGAGCUAUAGACCUAGUACCGCAAGGGAAAACUGAAAUAUUUAAUGAAAACUCUUUAAGCUUAAAACAGCAAAGUUUCGCCCUUGUACCUUUUGCAUCAUGAUCCAGCAAGUUAUAGCAGGCAAAGAGACCUUUAGUCUGACCCCCCGAAACCAGGUGAGCUACUUCGAGGCAGCCUAUUUUAAGGGCCAACCCGUCUCUGUGGCAAAAGAGUGGGACGAACUCCAAGUAGAGGUGAUAAACCUACCGAGCCUGGUGAUAGCUGGUUAUCUAGAAAACGAAUAUAAGUUCGGCCCCCGCUUUACCGACUAGCCUCUAUAAUUGAAAUUAAAUCUUUGACUAGAGUUAGACCGGGGAGUUAUUCAAGGGAGGUACAGCUCCCUUGAAGAAGGACACAACCUUAUGAAGGAGGAUAAAAAUCAUU